Non-coding RNA from Paramuricea clavata, 878 nucleotides. NCBI's taxonomy places the organism in Eukaryota, Metazoa, Cnidaria, Anthozoa, Malacalcyonacea, Plexauridae. The record is from the annotation of a GenBank genome assembly.
CCACACCACAUGCAAUACUAGAAUAGAUAUAAAAAAUGUUUAAAAAUAUAUAUAUAUAUAUAUUUAGUGCUAAGAGUUACUAUAUGCUACAACGAUGUUCGUGAGCAUCAGUUUCUAAGAAAAACUUAAAAAUAUUGUUUUUAAAAGAGGACAAAGUCUUUAAGUCUCGUAAGUGUUUUGGCAAGGCGUUCCAUUCUUUCGCGGCCGAACAUUGAAAUGAUGACUCGCCCAUUUUCGAUUUGGUUGGAAUUACGCACAACAACGUGGUGUCUCUCAGGGAUCUAUUGUGCGUUUCUGAUCUUCUACUAAAAUAACCAAUUAGUUGUUGUGGACAGUCAAUGUUGUAUAUAAUUUUAUAUACUAAUUGCAAACGAAGAAAGCGCCUUCUGCUGCUUAAUGACAAUAAGCCCAGUUUAGUGCGCAUUUCUUGCGUGCACGUUUUGCGAUUUGCUGAUAGUAUAAUACGCAUCGCUUGAUUCUGCAUUCUAUUAAAUCCCCUAUGAAAGCCAUAUAAAUUUACCUCAUAACUCUACAUUCUAUCAUUUAAAAUCUUUGAUUGCCCUGCCAAUCCAGAAGAUUCGUUUUUUGGGGGGGGAGAGGGGGUCACACCCCCAUACCCCCUCAAGUUUCGCACCUGAUUGAAAACCUCGGGUCUGACCGGUCAGGCCAUUAAUUAAAUGGAAAGGGCACUAUAACCACACGUAAUUAAAUUAGAACGCGGCAUAUAGCAAACAAUGAUUCUAGAAAACGUUUUUGGUCAAAUUGAAAACAAAUUAUUCCAAAGGCACGAGUUGGCACGAUGUCGAGAAUUUGCUGGCACGAUGUCGAGAGUUGGCACGAUGUCGAGAAUUUCCGGCUUCGCACGAAUUUUUUUCCCG